UAGGGAAUCUUCGGCAAUGGACGCAAGUCUGACCGAGCAACGCCGCGUGAGUGAAGAAGGUUUUCGGAUCGUAAAACUCUGUUGUUAUAGAAGAACAAGGAUGAGAGUAGAACGUUCAUCCCUUGACGGUAUCUAACCAGAAAGCCACGGCUAACUACGUGCCAGCAGCCGCGGUAAUACGUAGGUGGCAAGCGUUGUCCGGAUUUAUUGGGCGUAAAGCGAGCGCAGGCGGUUUCUUAAGUCUGAUGUGAAAGCCCCCGGCUCAACCGGGGAGGGUCAUUGGAAACUGGGAAACUUGAGUGCAGAAGAGGUGAGUGGAAUUCCAUGUGUGGCGGUGAAAUGCGUGGAUAUAUGGAGGAACACCAGUGGCGAAGGCGGCUCUCUGGUCUGUAACUGACGCUGAGGCUCGAAAGCGUGGGGAGCAAACAGG
This 430-nucleotide ribosomal RNA is filed under the name Fusobacteriota bacterium. RNAcentral's name for it is "Fusobacteria bacterium partial 16S ribosomal RNA". It matches the Rfam family "Bacterial small subunit ribosomal RNA", at positions 355 to 776 of the family's 1533-position model. The record is from RNAcentral. Lineage: Bacteria; Fusobacteriati; Fusobacteriota.